This 221-nucleotide long non-coding RNA is filed under the name Capsicum annuum. RNAcentral describes it as "long non-coding RNA (CANN_LNC016463)". The record is from RNAcentral. Lineage: Eukaryota; Viridiplantae; Streptophyta; Magnoliopsida; Solanales; Solanaceae.
CCUUUCACAAAAAAAGUAUAAGAUAUUUUCAUAUUAGGAAUACAUAAUUUCUUGUCCUUUGCACAAAAAGUAUGAGAUAUUUAAUUUUAUUAUUAACAUCAUAGACGUCCUCUUUCAGUCCCUUUUGAGUUGAGUCUGUCGCACAAGGCUUAUCGAGUGUGGUUUGCGCUUUCUGUGUGACUUGCAGGCUAUUACACGAUAGGGUCUUCAACACGUCUCUU